AGUCGACGAUGAAGCCUAGCUUGCUGGGUGGAUUAGUGGCGAACGGGUGAGUAACACGUGAGCAACCUGCCCCUGACUCUGGGAUAAGCGCUGGAAACGGCGUCUAAUACUGGAUAUGUCCCAUCACCGCAUGGUGUGUGGGUGGAAAGAUUUUUCGGUUGGGGAUGGGCUCGCGGCCUAUCAGCUUGUUGGUGAGGUAAUGGCUCACCAAGGCGUCGACGGGUAGCCGGCCUGAGAGGGUGACCGGCCACACUGGGACUGAGACACGGCCCAGACUCCUACGGGAGGCAGCAGUGGGGAAUAUUGCACAAUGGGCGGAAGCCUGAUGCAGCAACGCCGCGUGAGGGAUGACGGCCUUCGGGUUGUAAACCUCUUUUAGCAGGGAAGAAGCGAGAGUGACGGUACCUGCAGAAAAAGCACCGGCUAACUACGUGCCAGCAGCCGCGGUAAUACGUAGGGUGCAAGCGUUAUCCGGAAUUAUUGGGCGUAAAGAGCUCGUAGGCGGUCUGUCGCGUCUGCUGUGAAAUUCCGAGGCUCAACCUCGGGCUUGCAGUGGGUACGGGCAGACUAGAGUGCGGUAGGGGAGAUUGGAAUUCCUGGUGUAGCGGUGGAAUGCGCAGAUAUCAGGAGGAACACCGAUGGCGAAGGCAGAUCUCUGGGCCGUAACUGACGCUGAGGAGCGAAAGGGUGGGGAGCAAACAGGCUUAGAUACCCUGGUAGUCCACCCCGUAAACGUUGGGAACUAGUUGUGGGGUCCUUUCCACGGAUUCCGUGACGCAGCUAACGCAUUAAGUUCCCCGCCUGGGGAGUACGGCCGCAAGGCUAAAACUCAAAGGAAUUGACGGGGACCCGCACAAGCGGCGGAGCAUGCGGAUUAAUUCGAUGCAACGCGAAGAACCUUACCAAGGCUUGACAUACACGAGAACGGGCCAGAAAUGGUCAACUCUUUGGACACUCGUGAACAGGUGGUGCAUGGUUGUCGUCAGCUCGUGUCGUGAGAUGUUGGGUUAAGUCCCGCAACGAGCGCAACCCUCGUUCUAUGUUGCCAGCACGUAAUGGUGGGAACUCAUGGGAUACUGCCGGGGUCAACUCGGAGGAAGGUGGGGAUGACGUCAAAUCAUCAUGCCCCUUAUGUCUUGGGCUUCACGCAUGCUACAAUGGCCGGUACAAUGGGCUGCAAUACCGUGAGGUGGAGCGAAUCCCAAAAAGCCGGUCCCAGUUCGGAUUGAGGUCUGCAACUCGACCUCAUGAAGUCGGAGUCGCUAGUAAUCGCAGAUCAGCAACGCUGCGGUGAAUACGUUCCCGGGUCUUGUACAC
RNAcentral lists this ribosomal RNA (1317 nucleotides) under Microbacterium esteraromaticum. RNAcentral's name for it is "bacterial SSU rRNA". It matches the Rfam family "Bacterial small subunit ribosomal RNA", at positions 60 to 1388 of the family's 1533-position model. The record is from RNAcentral. Lineage: Bacteria; Bacillati; Actinomycetota; Actinomycetes; Micrococcales; Microbacteriaceae.